UACGUAGGGUGCGAGCGUUAAUCGGAAUUACUGGGCGUAAAGCGUGCGCAGGCGGUUGUGCAAGACAGGUGUGAAAUCCCCGGGCUUAACCUGGGAACUGCGCUUGUGACUGCACAACUAGAGUACGGCAGAGGGGGGUGGAAUUCCUGGUGUAGCAGUGAAAUGCGUAGAUAUCAGGAGGAACAUCGAUGGCGAAGGCAGCCCCCUGGGCCAGUACUGACGCUCAUGCACGAAAGCGUGGGGAGCAAACAGG
Molecule: ribosomal RNA, 253 nt
Filed under: uncultured bacterium
Lineage: Bacteria
Description: partial 16S ribosomal RNA
Rfam family: Bacterial small subunit ribosomal RNA
Source: RNAcentral